GGGCCUCUAGCUCAACUGGUUAGAGCAGCGGACUUUUAAUCCGCGGGUUGUGGGUUCGAGCCCCACGGGGCCUACCU
RNAcentral lists this transfer RNA (77 nucleotides) under Propionibacteriaceae bacterium. Its description in RNAcentral is "tRNA-Lys". It matches the Rfam family "tRNA". Rfam says of the family: Transfer RNA (tRNA) molecules are approximately 80 nucleotides in length. The record is from RNAcentral. Lineage: Bacteria; Bacillati; Actinomycetota; Actinomycetes; Propionibacteriales; Propionibacteriaceae.